UACGUAGGGGGCGAGCGUUGUCCGGAUUUAUUGGGCGUAAAGAGCGUGUAGGCGGCCAGGUAGGUCUGCUGUGAAAACUCGAGGCUCAACCUCGAGACGUCGGCGGAAACCAUCUGGCUAGAGUCCGGAAGAGGAGAGUGGAAUUCCCGGUGUAGCGGUGAAAUGCGCAGAUAUCGGGAAGAACACCAGUGGCGAAGGCGGCUCUCUGGGACGGUACUGACGCUGAGACGCGAAAGCGUGGGGAGCAAACAGG
RNAcentral lists this ribosomal RNA (253 nucleotides) under uncultured bacterium. Its description in RNAcentral is "partial 16S ribosomal RNA". It matches the Rfam family "Bacterial small subunit ribosomal RNA", at positions 524 to 776 of the family's 1533-position model. The record is from RNAcentral.